This 229-nucleotide long non-coding RNA is filed under the name Lathyrus oleraceus (garden pea). RNAcentral's name for it is "Pisum sativum (pea) long non-coding RNA (PSAT_LNC025156)". Lineage: Eukaryota; Viridiplantae; Streptophyta; Magnoliopsida; Fabales; Fabaceae. The record is from RNAcentral.
AAUUCUAGAGGCAAAAAUAAAAGGGGUUGAUGUUCAACAUUUUUCCAAAAUGAUAAAAAUAAAGGGGUUAAAAAAUAAAUUAAAAGAGAAAAAUAAAAGGGAAAAAUAAAAUAAAUAAAAAUGACAUAGAAUGCAAAAUAAUGGUCAGGAUGCACUCCUUAGGUUCGAAUCCCUGACCUUGGGGUCAUGGGUGAACCUAGCCCCUCCCACACUAGGCUAAUGGCCCAAU